Bufo bufo (common toad) is the source of this 200-nucleotide long non-coding RNA. RefSeq lists it as uncharacterized. The transcript has 3 exons. Lineage: Eukaryota; Metazoa; Chordata; Amphibia; Anura; Bufonidae. The record is from RefSeq and is a predicted model, not a curated record.
GUGUGAUUCAUUUUUGUCCCCUGCACGUGUAUAUAUAUAUCUUAUAUGAAGUUUAUUAAUCUUCUAUAUCUUCUCGGCUAGAGUUUGGAUUUCUUCUCGACAGAGAUAGUAUAAAAUGGAUACAGAUAAUUUGUCUUUAUUUUACAUCAAUCUCUAAGAUCUUGACUCAGGAUGUCAGGCUUCAUAAAGCAUCUUGAAGC